CGGUGUUCAACUGGCGUGUCCGCGGGACGUCCUGCCGGUGGGCUUAGCCCGCAAGGGCGGCCCAACUUCAAAUCCCAUCGCGGUGCUCUUCACUGAGUGUCGAGGUGGGCCGGCACGUUUACUUUGAACAAAUUAGAGUGCUUAAAGCAGGCUAAAACUUCGCCUGAAUACUGUGUGCAUGGAAUAAUGGAAUAGGACCUCGGUUCUAUUUUGUUGGUUUUCGGAACCCCGAGGUAAUGAUUAAUAGGAACGGAUGGGGGCAUUCGUAUUGCGACGUUAGAGGUGAAAUUCUUGGAUCGUCGCAAGACGGACAGAAGCGAAAGCAUUUGCCAAAAACGCUUUCAUUGAUCAAGAACGAAAGUUAGAGGUUCGAAGGCGAUCAGAUACCGCCCUAGUUCUAACCAUAAACGAUGCCAGCUAGCGAUCCGUCGACGUUCCUCCGAUGACUCGACGGGCAGCUUCCGGGAAACCAAAGCUUUUGGGUUCCGGGGGAAGUAUGGUUGCAAAGCUGAAACUUAAGGGAAUUGACGGAAGGGCACCACCAGGAGUGGAGCCUGCGGCUUAAUUUGACUCAACACGGGAAACCUCACCAGGCCCGGACACCGGAAGGAUUGACAGAUUGAGAGCUCUUUCUUGAUUCGGUGGGUGGUGGUGCAUGGCCGUUCUUAGUUGGUGGAGCGAUUUGUCUGGUUAAUUCCGAUAACGAACGAGACUCUAGCCUGCUAACUAGGCGUAUUUUCGACAUCUCAAAGGUCCGUCGUCCCGGCCCUCGGGUCGUGGGCGUGCGCGAUUUUUACUGUCGGCGUACUAUCAAUUCUUCUUAGAGGGACAGGUGGCUUCUAGCCGCACGAGAUUGAGCAAUAACAGGUCUGUGAUG
RNAcentral lists this ribosomal RNA (877 nucleotides) under uncultured eukaryote. Its description in RNAcentral is "SSU rRNA". It matches the Rfam family "Eukaryotic small subunit ribosomal RNA", at positions 636 to 1469 of the family's 1831-position model. The record is from RNAcentral.